CCUACGGGAGGCAGCAGCUAAGAAUAUUCCGCAAUGGACGAAAGUCUGACGGAGCGACGCCGCGUGGAUGAAGAAGGCCGAAAGGUUGUAAAGUUCUUUUGUUGGGGAAGAAUAACCAUGGGAGGGAAUGCCCGUGGGAUGACAUGAACCGACGAAUAAGCCCCGGCUAACUACGUGCCAGCAGCCGCGGUAACACGUAGGGGGCGAGCGUUGUUCGGAAUUACUGGGCGUAAAGGGCAUGUAGGCGGUCUUGUAAGCUUGGCGUGAAAGACCACGGCUCAACCGUGGGAUUGCGUUGAGAACUGCGAGGCUUGAGUGACGGAGAGGGAGCUAGAAUUCCUGGUGUAGGGGUGGAAUCUGUAGAGAUCAGGAAGAAUACCAAUGGCGAAGGCAAGCUCCUGGCCGAUGACUGACGCUGAGGUGCGAAAGUGUGGGGAUCAAACAGGAUUAGAUACCCUGGUAGUCCACACUGUAAACGAUGUGCACUAGGUGCUGGUACGGAUGUAUCAGUGCCGUAGCUAACGUGAUAAGUGCACCGCCUGGGGAGUAUGCUCGCAAGGGUGAAACUCAAAUGAAUUGACGGGGA
RNAcentral lists this ribosomal RNA (586 nucleotides) under uncultured bacterium. RNAcentral describes it as "bacterial SSU rRNA". It matches the Rfam family "Bacterial small subunit ribosomal RNA", at positions 338 to 919 of the family's 1533-position model. The record is from RNAcentral.